CACCGACAUCAGCGACUCGUUCUGCGAGCCGUUGCCGACCGCCAGAUACGAGUGCAUGCCGAGCUCGCGCAUCUGCUGUUCGCCGAUCACGCGGGUGAUGAUGUUUUUACCGUACUGAUCCGCCAGCUGGCGCGCCUGGGAGGCGAGGUAGGCGGCGUUACAGAUGUUCGGCGGCAUGUUGCCGAGAUCUUUCGC
This 195-nucleotide antisense RNA is filed under the name [Enterobacter] lignolyticus SCF1. Its description in RNAcentral is "Enterobacter cloacae SCF1 Yersinia sRNA 276". It matches the Rfam family "Yersinia sRNA 276". The record is from Rfam by way of RNAcentral. Lineage: Bacteria; Pseudomonadati; Pseudomonadota; Gammaproteobacteria; Enterobacterales; Enterobacteriaceae.